This 84-nucleotide transfer RNA is filed under the name Inga alba. Its description in RNAcentral is "tRNA-Tyr". Lineage: Eukaryota; Viridiplantae; Streptophyta; Magnoliopsida; Fabales; Fabaceae. The record is from RNAcentral.
UGAAUGAAAGUGAAAGAAAUGAAGUUUAACCCCCUCGCCUUUUCUUUUCCGGCAAACCAAUCAUUCCCCGAAAGGCUCCUAUCU